GACGAACGCUGGCGGCGUGCUUAACACAUGCAAGUCGAACGGAAAGGCCCUGCUUUUGUGGGGUGCUCGAGUGGCGAACGGGUGAGUAACACGUGAGUAACCUGCCCUUGACUUUGGGAUAACUUCAGGAAACUGGGUCUAAUACCGGAUAGGAGCUCCUGCUGCAUGGUGGGGGUUGGAAAGUUUCGGCGGUUGGGGAUGGACUCGCGCCUUAUCAGCUUGUUGGUGGGGUAGUGGCUUACCAAGGCUUGACGGGUAGCCGGACUGAGAGGGUGACCGGCCACAUUGGGACUGAGAUACGGCCAAGACUCAUACGGGAGGCAGCAGUGGGGAAUAUUGAAAAAUGGGCGGAAGCCUGAUGCAGAAACGCCGCGUGCGGGAUGACGGCCUUCGGGUUGUAAACCGCUUUCGCCUGUGACGAAGAGUGAGUGACGGUAAUGGGUAAAGAAGCACCGGCUAACUACGUG
Molecule: ribosomal RNA, 467 nt
Filed under: uncultured bacterium
Lineage: Bacteria
Description: partial 16S ribosomal RNA
Rfam family: Bacterial small subunit ribosomal RNA
Source: RNAcentral